RNAcentral lists this long non-coding RNA (240 nucleotides) under Lathyrus oleraceus (garden pea). RNAcentral describes it as "Pisum sativum (pea) long non-coding RNA (PSAT_LNC006303)". The record is from RNAcentral. Lineage: Eukaryota; Viridiplantae; Streptophyta; Magnoliopsida; Fabales; Fabaceae.
CACUGUGGGCGUUCCUACAGUUGUUCAUAAGUCAGAGGAAUAAUCACUUUGCUUAAAAACCCUUCUCCCAUGCCAAAAGGAGAAGUGAUGACAUUGUUGGCAACAUUUUGUGCAAUGAUAUUUUCAUUAAAAUAAUUCAUGUUAAAACAUUUGUUUUCCAUUUGUUUUCCCUUUUUGCUUUUUUGCAUGAAAUUGGUGAUCACAAAAAACCCUAAAAAACAAGAAUAAAAGCAAUCUUUU